ACUCAAAUGAAUUGACGGGGACUUGCACAAGCGGUGGAUGAUGCGGCUCAAUUCGAUGAUAAACGAAGAACCUCACCAGGGUUUGAAACCCACACGAAACUCUUAGGAAACUUUGAGCCCCGCAAGGCGGGUGGGCAGGUGAUGCAUGGUCGUCGUCAAUUCGUGGCUUGAGUUGUUCCCUUCAGUGGGGUAACGAAUGUAACCCGCGUUGCCUGUUUUAUAUGUCAGGCGAGACUGCCCCCUCACGGGGGAGGAAGGUGCGGAUGACGCCAGAUCAGCAUGUCCCUCUGAUACCCUGGGCUGCACGCAUCAUACAAUGCGCGCGACAACGAGAUGCAAGACCGCAAGGUGGAGCAAAUCUUUAUAAACGCGCGCUCAGUUCGGAUUGGAGUCUGCAACUCGACUCCAUGAAGCUGGAAUCGCUAGUAAUCGCGGGUCAGCUAUACCGCGGUGAAUACGUUCUCAAGUCUUGUACACACCGCCCGU
This 486-nucleotide ribosomal RNA is filed under the name uncultured bacterium. RNAcentral's name for it is "partial 16S ribosomal RNA". It matches the Rfam family "Bacterial small subunit ribosomal RNA", at positions 899 to 1397 of the family's 1533-position model. The record is from RNAcentral.